RNAcentral lists this ribosomal RNA (253 nucleotides) under uncultured bacterium. RNAcentral describes it as "partial 16S ribosomal RNA". It matches the Rfam family "Bacterial small subunit ribosomal RNA", at positions 524 to 776 of the family's 1533-position model. The record is from RNAcentral.
UACGAAGGGGGCUAGCGUUGCUCGGAAUGACUGGGCGUAAAGGGCGCGUAGGCGGCGCCGCAAGUCGGGCGUGAAAGCCCCGGGCUCAACCCGGGGACGGCGCCCGGGACUGCGGGGCUGGAGGACGGGAGAGGGCCGCGGAAUUCCCAGUGUAGAGGUGAAAUUCGUAGAUAUUGGGAAGAACACCGGUGGCGAAGGCGGCGGCCUGGCCCGUUCCUGACGCUGAGGCGCGACAGCGUGGGGAGCAAACAGG